This 253-nucleotide ribosomal RNA is filed under the name uncultured bacterium. Its description in RNAcentral is "partial 16S ribosomal RNA". It matches the Rfam family "Bacterial small subunit ribosomal RNA", at positions 524 to 776 of the family's 1533-position model. The record is from RNAcentral.
UACGUAGGGCGCAAGCGUUGUCCGGAAUUAUUGGGCGUAAAGAGCUUGUAGGCGGUCUGUCGCGUCUGCUGUGAAAAUCCGGGGCUCAACCCCGGACUUGCAGUGGGUACGGGCAGACUAGAGUGUGGUAGGGGAGACUGGAAUUCCUGGUGUAGCGGUGAAAUGCGCAGAUAUCAGGAGGAACACCGAUGGCGAAGGCAGGUCUCUGGGCCACUACUGACGCUGAGACGCGAAAGCGUGGGGAGCGAACAGG